Molecule: ribosomal RNA, 513 nt
Filed under: uncultured bacterium
Lineage: Bacteria
Description: partial 16S ribosomal RNA
Rfam family: Bacterial small subunit ribosomal RNA
Source: RNAcentral
AACGAACGCUGGCGGCGUGCCUAACACAUGCAAGUCGAGCGCGAAAAGGGCAACCUGAGUAGAGCGGCGCACGGGUGCGUAACACGUGGGUAAUCUGCCUUAGAGUCGAGGAUAACCUUCCGAAAGGUUGGCUAAUACUCGGUAAGCUUACAGUGUCUUCGGACGCUGUGGGAAAAGUAGGCCUCUGUUUACAAGCUUACGCUCUGAGAUGAGCCCGCGGCCCAUCAGCUAGUUGGCGAGGUAACGGACCACAAAGGCAACGACGGGUAGCUGGUCUGAGAGGACGAUCAGCCACACUGGAACUGAGACACGGUCCAGACUCCUACGGGAGGCAGCAGUGGGGAAUUUUCCACAAUGGGCGAAAGCCUGAUGGAGCAACGCAGCGUGUGUGAUGAAGGUUUUCGGAUCGUAAAGCACUUUCGACCGGGACGAAAAACCUCUGGCUAACAUCCAGGGGCCUGACGGUACCGGGAGAAGAAGCACCGGCUAACUCUGUGCCAGCCGCCGCAGUAA